GUUGUCCUGGGGAAAGGCGGUAGGCAUGAUUCUUAGGCAAAUCCGGGAAUCUUUAUGCCGAGCACCGAGACGAGUCCUAUGAGGACGAAGUGACUGACACCACGCUUCCAGGAAAAGCCACUAAGCUUCAGCUGUAGAAAAACCGUACCGUAAACCGACACUGGUAGGCAUGGUGAGAAUCCCAAGGCGCUUGAGAGAACUCGGGUGAAGGAACUAGGCAAAAUGGCACCGUAACUUCGGGAGAAGGUGCGCCCUUUGGUGUGGUCACGUGCGUGACUGAGCAUCGAAGGGUCGCAGUAACCUGGCCGCUGCGACUGUUUAUCAAAAACACAGCACUCUGCAAACACGAAAGUGGACGUAUAGGGUGUGACGCCUGCCCGGUGCUGGAAGGUUAAUUGAUGGGGUCAGCCGCAAGGCGAAGCUCUUGAUCGAAGCCCCAGUAAACGGCGGCCGUAACAAUAACGGUCCUAAGGUAGCGAAAUUCCUUGUCGGGUAAGUUCCGACCUGCACGAAUGGCGUAACGACAGCGGCGCUGUCUCCACCCGAGACUCAGUGAAAUUGAAAUCGCUGUGAAGAUGCAGCGUUCCCGCGGCAAGACGGAAAGACCCCGUGAACCUUUACUAUAGCUUUACAUUGAACGUUGAGUUCUUCUGUGUAGGAUAGGUGGGAGGCUAUGAAACCGAGACGCUAGUUUCGGUGGAGCCAUCCUUGAAAUACCACCCUGAAGUGCUUGACGUUCUAACCUAGGUCCGUAAUCCGGAUCGGGGACCAUGUAUGGUGGGUAGUUUGACUGGGGCGGUCUCCUCCCAAAGAGUAACGGAGGAGCACGAAGGUACGCUCAGCGCGGUCGGACAUCGCGCACUGUGUGCAAAGGCAUAAGCGUGCUUGACUGCGAGAUCGACGGAUCAAGCAGGUACGAAAGUAGGUCUUAGUGAUCCGGUGGUUCUGUAUGGAAGGGCCAUCGCUCAACGGAUAAAAGGUACUCCGGGGAUAACAGGCUGAUACCGCCCAAGAGUUCAUAUCGACGGCGGUGUUUGGCACCUCGAUGUCGGCUCAUCACAUCCUGGGGCUGUAGCCGGUCCCAAGGGUAUGGCUGUUCGCCAUUUAAAGUGGUACGCGAGCUGGGUUCAGAACGUCGUGAGACAGUUCGGUCCCUAUCUGUCGUGGGCGUUGGAGAUUUGAGGGGGGCUGCUCCUAGUACGAGAGGACCGGAGUGGACGUUCCGCUGGUGUUCGGGUUGUCAUGCCCAUGGCAUUGCCCGGUAGCUACGAACGGAAGUGAUAACCGCUGAAAGCAUCUAAGCGGGAAGCACGCCCCAAGAUGAGAUCUCCCGAGAGCUAGACUCUCCUUAAGGCACCAUCAAGACUAGGUGGUUGAUAGGCACGGUGUGGAAGUGCAGCAAUGCAUUGAGCUUACGUGUACUAAUGAGCCGUGAGGCUUGACC
RNAcentral lists this ribosomal RNA (1444 nucleotides) under metagenome. Its description in RNAcentral is "bacterial LSU rRNA". It matches the Rfam family "Bacterial large subunit ribosomal RNA", at positions 1501 to 2925 of the family's 2925-position model. The record is from RNAcentral.